GAGUCCUCCGGCCAGUUAUUGUCCGCACAAGUAUAAAUCCCAACCACCCUUCGAUCUCCCUGCCGCGGCUGCCCAUACACAUCACACAUCAAACUAACUGCCAGUUGGAGAGGAAGAGGGGAACCACCUCUCCGGCGCAAGAUGAAGGAGGGCACGGCAAACUGCAUCGACAUCAUCAUCGCCAUCAUCCUUCCCCCUCUCGGCGUCUUCCUUAAGUUCGGUUGCAAGGUCGAGUUCUGGCUCUGCCUCUUGCUCACCUUCCUCGGCUACCUUCCGGGGAUCAUCUACGCGAUCUACGCCAUCACAAAGUAGAGUACGGGAACAGAGCAACACUUGGAGAGAAGGAUGUAAAGUUCUUACCGGUGUCUUCUAGUUUGGAGAUUGAUUGUCAUCUGUCAAGCUACUCGUACUGAUUGAGCUCUAGUUUGGAGAUUGGUAUCUGUCAGAUAAUCAGAUUGAUUGUCAUCCGUCUGAUGAUUAUUUGUGGAUCCUAUAUAUGACGAUACGGUGUUUCGUGUGAGAAAUUCCUGCCAACUCGUGCUGUUUUUCUUUCGCGCGCAGUGGUCUCUGUAAAUCUGUCUCAAUAGUUGUUGAUAAUAAUAAAAAUGUAUCUUGCUUGGUGAUUUUGGAUGGU
Panicum virgatum (switchgrass) is the source of this 634-nucleotide long non-coding RNA. RefSeq lists it as uncharacterized. NCBI's taxonomy places the organism in Eukaryota, Viridiplantae, Streptophyta, Magnoliopsida, Poales, Poaceae. The transcript has 3 exons. The record is from RefSeq and is a predicted model, not a curated record.